AUGGAAAGAACAUUGAGGAUGUCAUUGCUCAGGGUAAUGGAAAACUUGCCAGCAUGCCUGCGGGAGGAGCUGUGGCCGUCUCUGCUGGCGGGGGCUCUGCUGCUCCUGCUGCAGGUGGUGCUGCCCCCGCUGCAGCUGAGGAGAAGAAAGAAGAGAAGAAAGAAGAAUCUGAAGAAUCUGAUGAUGACAUGGGAUUCGGCCUCUUUGAUUAAUUAUUUGUUAUAGAAAUACUAUUAAAUUUUGUUUGUUUUAAAAGGUUUUUGAGUUUAUUAGUAUAACCAUAAAGUACUAUUGGAUUCAGACAGCUUUCUUAAAAUAGCUCUGACAAAGCUUGGGUUUUUAGCUCUGUCUGAAAUAGAUAUGCUACUUUGAGUAAAUGAGGCCAUGGGAAUGAUUCUUUUAAAGCGCUUGGGUAUUGCUAAGCUUGUGUGAACCUGAAGGCUUGUUUUGAGACUCCUAUUUAUUAAAUGGUAUAUGGAAGUUGAAUUUACGUGAAUUCACCCUCUUCACACUAUCUUGCCAUCAUAGUUAUUCAGGAAAGAAUCCUACCUAUUCAGCCAUAAAAAGGCUUAUUUUUUGGAAUCUGUGUAGUCAAUGCCAAAACAUGAGUGGCAAGCAAGUCCAGAUGAGUCCACAAAUGUUACAACCAAUACUUAUUAGAACUAGCUUUGAAAUAACUAUUUAAAAACCCACCGAUUUCAUUUUGGCUUCAUAUUCCAAGAUCUAGAAACAACACCAAUAACAUGUUUAACUCUACUUGGAUUUCACGUUACAUCCAUAUGCUCAACUUUAAGCCUUCCACAAGAUUACCACAUGCCUGCCUGCAGGCCCUGCUCUUCAGGGGCUUUUAACCCAAGGACACUGAAGUCAGUCCAAAGGCGCUCUUAAUUUCUGUUUUGGGGACAGCCAAAGUAUCAGCUUGAAAUGGAACAAAAAGAAAAUAGGAAAAUAUUUUUGGAAGCUGACCUCUAUGGUGUGCCCAGAAAAAUGCAUCAUCUUGGGAGGAUGCUAAAUUUUGCUUUUGUAAAGUGUUUUCUGCUAGGAGCCAGUUCCAGCAGACAACUUCCAGUGACUUCUACAGCGGUCUUUAACAGGUAAUGUGCAAAUAGGCGCAUGAUGGUCUUCCCAUGCCAGGUUUUCCACAAGUAGUGUCAAAAGCAGGGUCUUGGAGCAAGUAGUCUGCGCUAUGAAGUCUUGCCAACAGUUAAGUUGUUGCAGUGUGUGG
Molecule: long non-coding RNA, 1225 nt
Filed under: Struthio camelus australis
Lineage: Eukaryota; Metazoa; Chordata; Aves; Struthioniformes; Struthionidae
Description: lncRNA (ENSSCUG00000013007.1)
Source: RNAcentral